CCUACGGGUGGCAGCAGUGGGGAAUAGUGCACAAUGGGCGAAAGCCUGAUGCAGCAACGCCGCGUGAAGGAAGAAGGGUUUCGGCUCGUAAACUUCUAUCAACAGGGACGAAAGAAAUGACGGUACCUGAAUAAGAAGCCCCGGCUAACUACGUGCCAGCAGCCGCGGUAAUACGUAGGGGGCAAGCGUUAUCCGGAAUUACUGGGUGUAAAGGGUGAGUAGGGGGCAUGGUAAGCAAGAUGUGAAAGCCUUGGGCUUAACCCGAGGAGUGCAUGUGGAACUAUCAAGCUAGAGUACAGGAGCGGCACGCGGCAUUCCUAGUGUAGCGGUGACAUGCGUAGAUAUUAGGAAGAACACCAGUGGCGAUGGCAGCAUACCGGCGCUCCCCUGACGCUGAGGCACGAAAGCGUGGGGAUCGAACAGGAUUAGAUACCCUAGUAGUC
RNAcentral lists this ribosomal RNA (443 nucleotides) under uncultured bacterium. RNAcentral's name for it is "partial 16S ribosomal RNA". It matches the Rfam family "Bacterial small subunit ribosomal RNA", at positions 338 to 795 of the family's 1533-position model. The record is from RNAcentral.